This 460-nucleotide ribosomal RNA is filed under the name uncultured bacterium. RNAcentral describes it as "partial 16S ribosomal RNA". It matches the Rfam family "Bacterial small subunit ribosomal RNA", at positions 338 to 795 of the family's 1533-position model. The record is from RNAcentral.
CCUACGGGAGGCAGCAGUGAGGAAUAUUGGUCAAUGGGCGCUAGCCUGAACCAGCCAAGUAGCGUGAAGGAUGACUGUCCUAUGGGUUGUAAACUUCUUUUAUAUGGGAAUAAAGUGCAGUAUGUAUACUGCUUUGCAUGUACCUUAUGAAUAAGGAUCGGCUAACUCCGUGCCAGCAGCCGCGGUAAUACGGAGGAUCCGAGCGUUAUCCGGAUUUAUUGGGUUUAAAGGGAGCGUAGGCGGGUUGUUAAGUCAGUUGUGAAAGUUUGCGGCUCAACCGUAAAAUUGCAGUUGAUACUGGCAUCCUUGAGUACAGUAGAGGUAGGCGGAAUUCGUGGUGUAGCGGUGAAAUGCUUAGAUAUCACGAAGAACUCCGAUUGCGAAGGCAGCCUGCUGGACUGUAACUGACGCUGAGGAGCGAAAGCGUGGGUAGCAAACAGGAUUAGAUACCCUAGUAGUC